UCCCUGGUGGCUCAGCGGUAAAGAAUCUGCCUGCCAAGCAGGAGAGACGGGUUCGAUCCCUGAGUUGGGAA
RNAcentral lists this transfer RNA (71 nucleotides) under Capra hircus (goat). It matches the Rfam family "tRNA". From Rfam's summary of the family: Transfer RNA (tRNA) molecules are approximately 80 nucleotides in length. Lineage: Eukaryota; Metazoa; Chordata; Mammalia; Artiodactyla; Bovidae. The record is from Rfam by way of RNAcentral. RNAcentral also lists the same sequence under 1 other name.